This 332-nucleotide ribosomal RNA is filed under the name Badhamia albescens. RNAcentral's name for it is "bacterial SSU rRNA". It matches the Rfam family "Eukaryotic small subunit ribosomal RNA", at positions 80 to 345 of the family's 1831-position model. The record is from RNAcentral. Lineage: Eukaryota; Evosea; Eumycetozoa; Physariida; Physaraceae.
UCUGAAUCUGCGUACGGCUCCGCAUACCAGUUGUAAACCAUAGCGAGCAAACCGUGGCGGCAUCGCAAGGCGUCGUCGCGGUUAAUAAGGAUAACCCUGGUAAUUCUGAGGCUAAUACAAGAACGUACAACCCACCCGACCCGCGAGGGAAGGGGGGGGAAUGUGUGACCAGGCACGCAAAUUCGAAACUGGGAGUGGCCACACGUUCAGACCGUCAUACCAAACAGUCGCUCGCUUUGAAAGUCCUCGUGACGAGUAAACGGCGGGCUUCUGGGCGGCUCUCGCUGUGUGCUUCUGACCUAUCAACUAGAUGGCAGCGUAACGGACAUGCU